UGGGGAAUAUUGGACAAUGGGCGGAAGCCUGAUCCAGCCAUGCCGCGUGUGUGAAGAAGGCCUUUUGGUUGUAAAGCACUUUAAGCGAGGAGGAGGCUACUUGGAUUAAUACUCUAGGAUAGUGGACGUUACUCGCAGAAUAAGCACCGGCUAACUCUGUGCCAGCAGCCGCGGUAAUACAGAGGGUGCGAGCGUUAAUCGGAUUUACUGGGCGUAAAGCGUGCGUAGGCGGCUUCUUAAGUCGGAUGUGAAAUCCCUGAGCUUAACUUAGGGAUUGCAUUCGAUACUGGGAAGCUAGAGUAUGGGAGAGGAUGGUAGAAUUCCAGGUGUAGCGGUGAAAUGCGUAGAGAUCUGGAGGAAUACCGAUGGCGAAGGCAGCCAUCUGGCCUAAUACUGACGCUGAGGUACGAAAGCAUGGGGAGCAAACAGG
Molecule: ribosomal RNA, 430 nt
Filed under: bacterium
Lineage: Bacteria
Description: partial 16S ribosomal RNA
Rfam family: Bacterial small subunit ribosomal RNA
Source: RNAcentral